UUAGGUUUUCUUCAUAUUCUUCUGGAAUUUUUCGCAGAUUUUAGUUGUUGAAGGUUGAUGGAGAUGAUAUGAAGAUGAAGAAGAUGAAGAA
This 91-nucleotide microRNA precursor is filed under the name Medicago truncatula (barrel medic). RNAcentral's name for it is "MIR5298 microRNA precursor family". It matches the Rfam family "MIR5298 microRNA precursor family". Lineage: Eukaryota; Viridiplantae; Streptophyta; Magnoliopsida; Fabales; Fabaceae. The record is from Rfam by way of RNAcentral.